Molecule: long non-coding RNA, 553 nt
Filed under: Mus pahari (shrew mouse)
Lineage: Eukaryota; Metazoa; Chordata; Mammalia; Rodentia; Muridae
Description: predicted gene, 37799 (MGP_PahariEiJ_G0006053.1)
Source: RNAcentral
UGGCUGAGGAAGAGGCUGACUGCAUCUUUCACACACCACAACCCCCGGGUCCGCCUGCCUGCAGCAGCAGGCAAGGGAAACUGUGACUCAGCUUCUUCCAGCUCCAGAGGAGCUUGCUGCUGGGCAUACUGGGUUAUCUGAGGUCUCCAUCUAACUCCAUUUACCCUCUCACUGUGCUUCCCCAGCUGGGGCAAAGGAAAUCCAGUCUCUCCAGAUUUCCACAGUGCAGCCAAUAUUGUUCUGGAAGAUGUCUUCUUGAGGUAGAAGCAGUGCAGGUUGGCCUGAAGCCCAACUCCCUGCUUCUUCCCGUCAAGUGCUGAGGUUCCAGAUGUGGACCGCCACGCUCAGCUCGGACUUUCCUUCGGGGUUGGAAAGCACAGGACCAGCUUUCUGCCCUGAUGACAGAGAAGCGCGAAGCGCGGUCCCGAAAGGCUUGGCCGGCCUUCCUUUCAUCUUCCGCGCGCUCCUUCCCCGUGGCUUCCCAGGGCUUUUUCAGGAGAGUUGGCCUUGGAAGAGUGUCGUUCAGGGAACACAAACACUUAAACAAAACAAC